RNAcentral lists this ribosomal RNA (162 nucleotides) under Swartzia amshoffiana. RNAcentral's name for it is "5.8S ribosomal RNA". It matches the Rfam family "5.8S ribosomal RNA". Rfam says of the family: 5.8S ribosomal RNA (5.8S rRNA) is a component of the large subunit of the eukaryotic ribosome. It is transcribed by RNA polymerase I as part of the 45S precursor that also contains 18S and 28S rRNA. RNAcentral also lists the same sequence under 1 other name. Lineage: Eukaryota; Viridiplantae; Streptophyta; Magnoliopsida; Fabales; Fabaceae. The record is from RNAcentral.
GAACGACUCUCGGCAACGGAUAUCUCGGCUCUUGCAUCGAUGAAGAACGUAGCGAAAUGCGAUACUUGGUGUGAAUUGCAGAAUCCCGUGAACCAUCGAGUCUUUGAACGCAAGUUGCGCCCGAAGCCAUUAGGCCGAGGGCACGCCUGCCUGGGUGUCACA